GCACUGAUGGUUCAGUGGUAGAAUUCUUGCCUUCCAUGGAAGAGACCCGGGUUCGAUUCCCGGCCAAUGCU
Transfer RNA from Loxodonta africana (African savanna elephant), 71 nucleotides. It matches the Rfam family "tRNA". From Rfam's summary of the family: Transfer RNA (tRNA) molecules are approximately 80 nucleotides in length. Their secondary structure includes four short double-helical elements and three loops (D, anti-codon, and T loops). Further hydrogen bonds mediate the characteristic L-shaped molecular structure. tRNAs have two regions of fundamental functional importance: the anti-codon, which is responsible for specific mRNA codon recognition, and the 3' end, to which the tRNAs corresponding amino acid is attached (by aminoacyl-tRNA synthetases). tRNAs cope with the degeneracy of the genetic code in two manners: having more than one tRNA (with a specific anti-codon) for a particular amino acid; and 'wobble' base-pairing, i.e. permitting non-standard base-pairing at the 3rd anti-codon position. Lineage: Eukaryota; Metazoa; Chordata; Mammalia; Proboscidea; Elephantidae. The record is from Rfam.